UACGGAGGGUGCGAGCGUUGUCCGGAAUCACUGGGCGUAAAGGGCGCGUAGGUGGCCUGUGGAAGUCUGCGGUGAAAGCCCCGGCGCUCAACGCCGGGUCGGCCGUGGAUACUCUCGGGCUUGAGCUUACUAGAGGCAGAUGGAAUUCCGGGUGUAGCGGUGGAAUGCGUAGAGAUCCGGAAGAACACCGGUGGCGAAGGGCGGUCUGCUGGGGGUAUGGCUAACACUG
Molecule: ribosomal RNA, 229 nt
Filed under: uncultured bacterium
Lineage: Bacteria
Description: partial 16S ribosomal RNA
Rfam family: Bacterial small subunit ribosomal RNA
Source: RNAcentral